This 372-nucleotide ribosomal RNA is filed under the name uncultured prokaryote. RNAcentral's name for it is "bacterial SSU rRNA". It matches the Rfam family "Bacterial small subunit ribosomal RNA", at positions 524 to 896 of the family's 1533-position model. The record is from RNAcentral.
UACGUAGGGUGCAAGCGUUAAUCGGAAUUACUGGGCGUAAAGCGUGCGCAGGCGGUUAUAUAAGUCAGAUGUGAAAUCCCCGGGCUCAAACCGGGAAAUGCAUUUGAGACUGUAUAGCUAGAGGAAGGUAGAGGGGGAUGGAAUUCCGCGUGUAGCAGUGAAAUGCGUAGAUAAGCGGAGGAACACCGAUGGCGAAGGCAAUCCCCUGGACCUGUACUGACGCUCAUGCACGAAAGCGUGGGGAGCAAACAGGAUUAGAUACCCUGGUAGUCCACGCCCUAAACGAUGUCAACUGGUUGUUGGGUCUUAACUGACUCAGUAACGAAGCUAACGCGUGAAGUUGACCGCCUGGGGAGUACGGCCGCAAGGUUG